GCCGAAGUGGUGGAAUUGGUAGACACGCUAUCUUGAGGGGGUAGUGUCCUUACGGACGUGCGGGUUCAAGUCCCGCCUUCGGCA
RNAcentral lists this transfer RNA (84 nucleotides) under Halotalea alkalilenta. It matches the Rfam family "tRNA". Rfam says of the family: Transfer RNA (tRNA) molecules are approximately 80 nucleotides in length. Their secondary structure includes four short double-helical elements and three loops (D, anti-codon, and T loops). Further hydrogen bonds mediate the characteristic L-shaped molecular structure. tRNAs have two regions of fundamental functional importance: the anti-codon, which is responsible for specific mRNA codon recognition, and the 3' end, to which the tRNAs corresponding amino acid is attached (by aminoacyl-tRNA synthetases). tRNAs cope with the degeneracy of the genetic code in two manners: having more than one tRNA (with a specific anti-codon) for a particular amino acid; and 'wobble' base-pairing, i.e. permitting non-standard base-pairing at the 3rd anti-codon position. The record is from Rfam by way of RNAcentral. Lineage: Bacteria; Pseudomonadati; Pseudomonadota; Gammaproteobacteria; Oceanospirillales; Halomonadaceae.